This 400-nucleotide unclassified non-coding RNA is filed under the name soil metagenome. Its description in RNAcentral is "partial contains 5.8S ribosomal RNA, internal transcribed spacer 2, and large subunit ribosomal RNA". The stretch from base 1 to 122 matches the Rfam family "5.8S ribosomal RNA", at positions 35 to 154 of the family's 154-position model. The record is from RNAcentral.
GAUGAAGAACGCAGUGAAAUGCGAUACUUGGUGUGAAUUGCAGAAUCCCGUGAACCAUCGAGUCUUUGAACGCAAGUUGCGCCUCAAGCCAUUAGGUUGAGGGCACGUCUGCCUGGGCGUCACAUAUCGUUGCCUGAUGCCAGUUUCCUCGUGAUGGGUGACUGUGCAGGGCGAAUGAUGGCUUCCCGUGAGCAUUGUUGCCUCAUGGUUGGUUGAAAAUUGAGUCCUUGGUAGGGAGCGCCGUGAUAGAUGGUGGUUGAGUGACGAACGAGACCCAAUCAUGUGAGACCCCUACCGAAUUUGGCCUUCAUGCCCCACAUGCGUCUUUGGAACGCUCAUGACGAGACCUCAGGUCAGGCGGGGCUACCCGCUGAGUUUAAGCAUAUCAAUAAGCGGAGGA